Molecule: ribosomal RNA, 288 nt
Filed under: Triticum aestivum (bread wheat)
Lineage: Eukaryota; Viridiplantae; Streptophyta; Magnoliopsida; Poales; Poaceae
Description: partial small subunit ribosomal RNA
Source: RNAcentral
AUGGCUGACACGCCAAACCCCGCCGCCCCGCCUCCACCGACGACAGCAAGCUCUGCCCCGUCCGCAAGAAGCAACCCAAGUCCAAGAACGAGCAGACGCCGGAGCAGUGUGACGUAUAUUCGGCGAAGAGGGCUCGUCGAAGUAAGGUACAGACCGAAACUAGAAGCUUCCAGCACGGCCGCCCUCGCCGCCGUCACGCAACAGGAGGCCACCAUCGCGGAGAAUGAGGCCCUCCUCGCCAAGGCCAAGAAGGACGAGAAGUGUGAUGCGGCCAUAUUUGCCUUAUAA